UGAGGGCCUAACUGACCAGGUUGGAACAGGUGACAGACAACAGACAGGUAAAACAUAACACAGAGGACGGUGAAGGCAAAUCUUUGAGGAAGGCAACUUCAGGACGGUUGAAGAAACGUUACACUGACGUUAGUUGGACGUUUGGCCUGAGGAAGGAUGAAGAUGACGUUGUUUACUAUCAUGACGGAUUCUUACUUAAAGACAUCACCUGGUUCAAGGGAGUUUCGGACAAUCGCACAAAGUCAUUUGUAGCCGUUGGGCAAGGAAAUCGAAAGGACUGGGUGGAUCUUGCAGAGGAGAAAACAGAGGACAGGAUUCAGCAGCAUGUGGACUAGAGGUUUCCCAAUUGACUUUGCAGGCUGCUGACCGGUAGGGUCUUUGUAAUUGCAAACUGAAUUAAUUGGAGUACCCUCCUGUCUUGUCCUUUCAAGGUGGCCUCAAGUACCUGUUUACCCCUGGUCAGAAGCUACUAUAAAGCAGCCCCCCCCCCUCCCA
Larimichthys crocea (large yellow croaker) is the source of this 495-nucleotide long non-coding RNA. RefSeq lists it as uncharacterized. NCBI's taxonomy places the organism in Eukaryota, Metazoa, Chordata, Actinopteri, Sciaenidae. The record is from RefSeq and is a predicted model, not a curated record. The transcript is spliced from 3 exons.